Molecule: ribosomal RNA, 484 nt
Filed under: uncultured bacterium
Lineage: Bacteria
Description: partial 16S ribosomal RNA
Rfam family: Bacterial small subunit ribosomal RNA
Source: RNAcentral
GACGAACGCUGGCGGCGUGCUUAACACAUGCAAGUCGAACGAUGAAGCCGGAGCUUGCUCUGGUGAAUUAGUGGCGAACGGGUGAGUAACACGUGAGUAACCUGCCCUUGACUCUGGGAUAACUUCUAGAAAUGGUAGCUAAUACCGGAUACGACCCUCGGAGGCAUCUCCAGGGGGUGGAAAGAAUUUCGGUCAAGGAUGGACUCGCGGCCUAUCAGCUAGUUGGUGAGGUAACGGCUCACCAAGGCGACGACGGGUAGCCGGCCUGGGAGGGUGACCGGCCAAACUGGGACUGAGACACGGCCCAGACUCCUACGGGAGGCAGCAGUGGGGAAUAUUGCACAAUGGGCGCAAGCCUGAUGCAGCAACGCCGCGUGAGGGAUGACGGCCUUCGGGUUGUAAACCUCUUUUAGUAGGGAAGAAGCGAAAGUGACGGUACCUGCAGAAAAAGCACCGGCUAACUACGUGCCAGCAGCCGCCGUAA